GGAGUUAGCCGGUGCUUCUUCUGUGAGUGAUGUCCUUCCUGCCGGCUAUUAACCCGCAGGCCUUCUUCCUCACUGAAAGUGCUUUACAACCCGAAGGCCUUCUUCACACACGCGGCAUGGCUGGAUCAGGGUUGCCCCCAUUGUCCAAUAUUCCCCACUGCUGCCUCCCGUAGGAGUCUGGGCCGUGUCUCAGUCCCAGUGUGGCUGAUCAUCCUCUCAGACCAGCUACGGAUCGUCGCCUUGGUGAGCCGUUACCUCACCAACCAGCUAAUCCGACAUAGGCUCAUCCGAUAGCGCGAGGCCCGAAGGUCCCCCGCUUUCCCCCGUAGGGCGUAUGCGGUAUUAGCCUGGGUUUCCCCCAGGUUAUCCCCCACUACCGGGCAGAUUCCUAUGCAUUACUCACCCGUCCGCCGCUCGCCACCAGGGAGCAAGCUCCCCGUGCUGCCGCUCGACUUGCAUGUGUUAGGCCUGCCGCCAGCGUUCAAUCUGAGCCAGAUCAAACUCUGA
This 507-nucleotide ribosomal RNA is filed under the name uncultured bacterium. RNAcentral describes it as "partial 16S ribosomal RNA". The record is from RNAcentral.